Varroa destructor (honeybee mite) is the source of this 2442-nucleotide non-coding RNA. The record is from RefSeq and is a predicted model, not a curated record. NCBI's taxonomy places the organism in Eukaryota, Metazoa, Arthropoda, Arachnida, Mesostigmata, Varroidae.
AAGCAGCGAUACUGAACGCUAUCAUCGGCCCAUGGAGAGGACGGGGCGAAUCCUAUUGUCGACCAGUCGCAUUGUACUGUACAGUACAAAGCUUGUUGCAGCGGGUGCUAGAUUACAGCCGUUACAGGAAGGAUUAAAAUAUGAAAGUCAUCUUAUCGUUACGGCCAGCCGUGGGUCAGCUGGCUCGAGUUGCCCACAAAAGAAAAAAAUCAAUUUCCGCAAACCUCAAGACCAAAUCAGCGUUAUUAUGGCCUGCUUUCGUAACAUUUUAUGGUUUCUCCCAAACUAGAUGGGCCUACUUACAUCCUGCUCUUUUAUUUAGUUUAUUAUUUUAGUCGUUUUUCGAGUGGCGUUCGGAAAAGUGUGCACUUGGUUUAGCUGCAGAAAUGCCAGAGAGAUGAAAGCAUAGAAUGCCGUACAAUUACGGUAUAAAGACAAAAUUGCACUGCGCCGAAUCUAUUUUCAGACCGACUUUUUUCUUUAAGAAUGACGAUGCGGGUGCUCUAAAAGCAGGUUAUGUACUAUCGGCAAAGGUGAAGGUUUCAAUUUCUCCUGACCAAAAUUUUGCUCACGAAACCAGACCAUCAAUGGGAUAUUUUGCGGUUUGUUUCCAAGUGUGCCAGUAAAUACCGCUCCUAAGAAGAUCGCACCAUGCUUGGCAGCAGAACUAAACCAUCGUUUUACUAAGCGUGUCCACCCACCUGCGCAGAUAAUAUUGCUUUAAUACAAGGGAGAAAACUUCGAUACGCGGGGACUUUUGCCAAAUCCUGUAUCAUCCGGAUCGAUCCAACAGUCAUACCAUGAAAGCUACGGAUCGACGAAUAAAAUUGAAGACGAGGAAUCGAGUGAGCUGAACCGAAUCCUUCAAAAUACGAUGGCACAUGUAAUAAACAUCCCAUCACUUGGACACUACAUGGAUAGUUCGGAAACAACCCAACGGGGUCGACAAUACCACUAUAAAGUGGAUCAAUUGCUUUCUCGCACCCCCUACCAGAAGAAAGCCCGGCUAUGCUUAUUACAGGAAGCGGAUCUCUCGAAGGUGCUGUAUUGGCCGGCUAUGAGCGAUCAGGAAUUUCGUCAAGUAGACGAUAUUGCAUCGUUACUGAACCAAGCUCUCGUCGAUAUUCAGGUGGAGUCAAGUGAACCACUUGUCGUCGACUUCGGCACAUCGCUAUGAAACCUCUUACCACAUUUUAUUUUAAUCAGCCAAAUUAGAAUUUAUAACAAUCUUAUAUAUGUCCAAAUGCUUCUUGAAUUAAUCAUCGUUGAAGAUUAUCUAUGUGGCUCGUUUUUCCGGUCUUGGCGCGUAAAACACCGGCAAAAACCAAUGUUGAACAGCACACUCGUUAGAAUACGCUUACACGUGUAAGCUCAUAAGCUGCUCCUAUAUACCUAUGUACUUUAUAUUUUUAUGCGACUGUCUGCUCCGUACGGUUCUGCAGAUACACUAAAUGGAAGCCGCACUAUUGUAUAGUCAAACGCGCAGUGGCUGCAACUGUUGUAGACAUACUUUCGAAAAAUGAAUGUGGCAACUUCCAAUACGAGGGUGACCAGAGCUUAUUAACCAUAGUAGAGACCUUUCAUAAAUAUAUUUCUAUUAUCAAGGGGAACUAGGUUACACGAUUAUAACCGUAAUUGACAUUCGCUCGUACCGAUACACAACAGUAAACUUCAAUGGAAUACAAAAAUUUAGAUGAUAUUGUUUAAAUGAGCUUAACAUAAUCAUACUGUGUCUGCAGUAGCUUGGUCCCUGUGAUGAGCAUUCGUCUAUUAGGGUUUUCUUCUCCUUACCUGUCUCUUAUAAAGCAAUAUCUUCUCUUAUGUAGCAAUAAUUGGAAACAGACAUGCACUUCUACGAAAAUACGAGUGUCGACAAAAAUGGUUUGGUGUUCGUGAGUGUGAAUGUAAAAGCAAGUUGGCGUGUAGGUACUUUUAUAUAGACAAGUGUCAAAGUAUUGAUUAUUUUCACACCUUCAUAUAUUUUCUCAUACAAUAAAGCUAAUAUCUAUAAUUUGUGCUUUUCGACAGCUGAACGUAAUACUAAUGCAUUGCCUAGUGCAUUGAAAUCUAGUUUCUUUUACAACCAAUUAGGGUUGGUGUGCAUUAGCCGCCUUUAGUUAUAUCCACAAUUAUUUCUGGUACAGGUUUCAUAAACAUUUUAACUGGUUAGUUACUUGUUUUAGAUAGCUGUUUACAAUUUGUCCACGCAUUCACGCAUACAGAAUCAGUUGUAUUAUUAAGAGAAGUGUAACACAUGGCUUGUGAGGUUAUUCCAUGCGUUUCGCACGUCCCUCCCAAGCGCUGUGUGCAAUUCAAAUAACGCCCCAGCCAAAUCCACUGUAUAUAGUAAUAAAGGAAGAACUUGCUAUCCGACUAUCUUGUUAUCCCGAUGCGUGCAAUAUUAUUGAUACAGUUAAACUGCAUCUGUUAAAUAAAGUGUAC